Long non-coding RNA from Dermacentor silvarum, 445 nucleotides. RefSeq lists it as uncharacterized. The transcript is spliced from 3 exons. The record is from RefSeq and is a predicted model, not a curated record. NCBI's taxonomy places the organism in Eukaryota, Metazoa, Arthropoda, Arachnida, Ixodida, Ixodidae.
GGUUCGGUGGUCUGGUAGACAAGAUGCUCGGUACAGUUGCGUGGUGAACAACCAGAACAGUGCCAAAAACACCCGGGUCCUGCAGCCGCCUGUCAAGUUCUAACCGUUUCCCGAGCAAAUGGUAUGAAAAUGAACGCAGACAGGCAUGGAUAACCGCCGUCCGCAGAAUCAAGUCAAAGCAGAAGCAAGCGUGUACCUUGUGAGAGAACCUUCUCGGUGUUCUCGGGCUCUGGCCGGGGGCCAGGUCGAGGGCUGCACCUUGGCCGGCAGCCGGACGUCUCCGGAGCCCUCCAUCAGAUGAUGAUGAUGAUGGGCCGAGUACUGGCGAACGUGUGAAAACCAGCAAGCAAAAAAAAAAAAAAAUGCACUUGGAGUGUUUCGUCAUGUCUGCCAAGGCAUGGUGCAAUACACGUCCCCGUCUUCCUUGCCCCAAACUGAAAUAAAC